UCCCUUGAGUUUAACCAGAAGAAUGUCCCCCCAAAAUCUUAGUUUCAGUAGAUCCAAAGCAGCCUUCCAGCAGGAAUCAGCUGCAUGUGAUGGAGUCUCAUGUGCUUUUACCAUGGUAGGGAUGCUGAGGGUGAAGAUGUAGAUUCAUCCAGAUGAUUGUGAGGUCGUCCUCCAUCUUAAC
Molecule: long non-coding RNA, 181 nt
Organism: Perognathus longimembris pacificus (Pacific pocket mouse)
Lineage: Eukaryota; Metazoa; Chordata; Mammalia; Rodentia; Heteromyidae
Exons: 3
Source: RefSeq, a predicted model, not a curated record